UGGGGAAUAUUGGACAAUGGGCGCAAGCCUGAUCCAGCCAUGCCGCGUGUGUGAAGAAGGCCUUCGGGUUGUAAAGCACUUUCAGCGAGGAGGAAGGGAUGUAUGUUAAUAGCAUGCAUUUUUGACGUUACUCGCAGAAGAAGCACCGGCUAACUCUGUGCCAGCAGCCGCGGUAAUACAGAGGGUGCAAGCGUUAAUCGGAAUUACUGGGCGUAAAGCGCACGUAGGCGGUUGUUUAAGUUGGAUGUGAAAGCCCCGGGCUCAACCUGGGAAUUGCAUUCAAAACUGGACAACUAGAGUGUGUGAGAGGGGGGUAGAAUUCCAAGUGUAGCGGUGAAAUGCGUAGAGAUUUGGAGGAAUACCAGUGGCGAAGGCGGCCCCCUGGCACAACACUGACGCU
Molecule: ribosomal RNA, 400 nt
Filed under: uncultured bacterium
Lineage: Bacteria
Description: bacterial SSU rRNA
Rfam family: Bacterial small subunit ribosomal RNA
Source: RNAcentral